Molecule: regulatory RNA element, 45 nt
Organism: Phaethon lepturus (White-tailed tropicbird)
Lineage: Eukaryota; Metazoa; Chordata; Aves; Phaethontiformes; Phaethontidae
Rfam family: Histone 3' UTR stem-loop
About the family: The mRNAs of metazoan histone genes lack a poly-A tail. 3' end processing occurs at a site between a highly conserved stem-loop (modelled by this family) and a purine rich region around 20 nts downstream (the histone downstream element, or HDE). The stem-loop is bound by a 31 kDa stem-loop binding protein (SLBP - also termed the histone hairpin binding protein, or HBP).
Source: Rfam
CCCAAGGCUCUUUUAAGAGCCACCCACAAAAAUCAUAAGAGAGCU